Lagenorhynchus albirostris (white-beaked dolphin) is the source of this 843-nucleotide long non-coding RNA. RefSeq lists it as uncharacterized. The record is from RefSeq and is a predicted model, not a curated record. Lineage: Eukaryota; Metazoa; Chordata; Mammalia; Artiodactyla; Delphinidae. The transcript is spliced from 4 exons.
AGGAGUGCAUGGGCAGAGUGAGCAGAAGAAACAUGCGAACCGACAAGUUGGGGCCAGACAGAGGUGAGGAAGACACAGCUAGGAAACCACAGCAGCACCGGUAGCGGCGGCGGCGGCGGCGGCGGCAGACUAACCUGUUGGAGGCUAUUUACUGUCAAGAGGGUUUGGCAGAACUUGCAGGGCUAGAGGAGGGAUUUCAGAGGUGGAACCAGAACACUGGAGGUCACAGUGACCUGCUCGGUGAAGACAGUCUGAGGCUGUUUCUGCACAGCCCAGCAACCGAGAAGUCAGCCCUGCUCAACAACUUUGAAACACUCACCCAGCCGACCUGAUGUGUUUGGGUGCUCACUGCCGGUGAGUAGAUAUAAGGACCCCCAGAGGAAUCUCUGAGAUUGCUUCGGUGCAUUUGUAACCCAGCAGCUAUGAGGAACCCAUAGAGCCUUCUGAGACAGCGUUGUGCAGAUUCUUCGCUCAUGAACAAUUUAUUUCAUAGGACACCCGUUUUGGAGAAGCUAAUGACUCAGAGCACUCCCAAGAAAAAGAAAAUGGAAAGAAGCCAAAAGUAUGAAAAGGACUCAGAAAGUUACUUAGAAGAUUUAAUCGACACUUCAUUUUUCUGUUCCUCAUCAGUUCCAGUAAACUAUGAUAUAUUUUUAAAACCUACUGUGCUAAAAGAUGUUGAAAGAUAUAAAUUGUCUAAAUAUUCUUUGUUCUCUGAAUUUUAUUUAUUUUUUUAUACAGCAAGUUCUUAUUAGUUAUACAUUUUAUACAUAUUAGUGUAUAUACAUCAAUCCCAAUCUCCCAAUUCAUCCCACCACCACCAUCCCCCGCCACUUCCCCCCC